RNAcentral lists this unclassified non-coding RNA (4426 nucleotides) under Polistes fuscatus (common paper wasp). RNAcentral's name for it is "nuclear pore complex protein Nup155, transcript variant X1". The record is from RNAcentral. Lineage: Eukaryota; Metazoa; Arthropoda; Insecta; Hymenoptera; Vespidae.
GUGUGGCGCGAAUCAAACGGGUGUGAACUCGUGCGGAUACCUGUCGUUGAUUAAUAUGCGUAAACAGUUUUAAUUAAAACUUUAAGAAGAUAUCAUUAGUUCAGAUAUUGAAGAGUAAAACGUUAAAAAAAUGUCACUUACAGAAAUGGAGCCGCUUAAAAUACAUUUAGAUGCUUUAGAAAUGGCUGGGAAAAUGGUUGAUAAACAUAUCACUGCAGAUAGUAAUUUUCCAUCUUUAAUUAAUUUAAUGCGAUGCAAUAUUCAAGGUGGACCAACUGUUAGUGGUCUUGACGAUCAUGAUUAUCCAAGUUUAAACGGAUCAUCAAUAAAUUUGACAAAUAUAAAUCAAAUGAAAAUACACAGUAAAAUUCCUUUGCCAUCUGAAGUUAUGGAACAUUUUGGCCAUAUGCAAUGUCAUUGUAUGAUGGGUUUAUUCACAGAAAUUUCGAAAGCAUGGCUUACGAUUGACAGCGAUAUUUAUGUGUGGUCAUAUGAAAACGAAGCUGAUGUCGCAUACUUUGAUGGAUUGAACGAGACUAUUAUAAGCGUUGGCUUAACCAAACCAAAACCAGGCAUAUUUCAAGGGUAUGUCAAAUAUCUAUUAAUUUUGACUACAACAGUUGAAAUAACUAUACUGGCAGUAAUACUGAAUGAGAAUGAUAAUGAUAAAUCAAUAGAAAUGCAAUUGGUACCAGAACCCAUUUUUACUGUCUCUACUGAUGGUAUUGGUAUAACCACCAUUGCCAAUACGAAUAAUGGUAGAAUUUUUCUUGGUGGUAGAGAUGGCUCAUUAUUUGAAAUAUGUUAUCAGGCAGAAAGUAGUUGGUUUAGUAAACGUUGUAAAAAAGUUAAUCAUUCUGAAGGGCCAUUAUCGUUUGUAAUACCUUCAUUUGUAACUAUGGCUUUAUCUGAAGAAGAAGCAAUAAUACAAAUUUCCAUAGAUGAUUCUCGUAAUAUUUUAUAUACUUUAGGAGACAAAGGUACUAUUACCGUUUGGGAUAUUGAUAAUGGUGGUGCAUCCAAAGUUACAUCAUUUUCUCAAAGUUCACUAGUUCAAAAUACUGUUCAUGUUGUCAAAACUCUUGAUAGUAAUAAUUUUCGACCUCUGGUGAGCAUAUCUGCUAUAACAGAAAGUGAAUCGAUACAUUUGAAUUUGGUUGUGGUGGCAGCUACUGGAACACGCUUUUAUUUCUGCUGCACACCACCUUCAAAUCCAUCGAGUAGACCGCAAGGACUUCAAUUAAUACAUGUCAGAUUGCCACCAGGCUAUGCUGCCAAUGCUCCAGUAACAAGACCCAAGAAGGUUCAAAUGGCGCAUUACAGAAAAGGAACAUUAAUACUUGUCUGCGGUGGUGAUACAGAAAGUGCAUGGUGUUUAAGUAACGAUGCAUAUCCUUUCACAAAUUAUUUAGCUGAAACUCAAAGUAUCCUACCUCUUGAUAGUCCCGUGUGGGCAAUGGCAGAAAUUAUUGGAGAAUCGGCUAUGCAUAUGGAAAAACUAAGCACUACACAAGGAGAACCACCUCUUCUUGUUAGACAACACAUGGAGCCACCUAGAAAGUUUAUAUUUUUAACAACUCAGGGUGCAAUAAUUUUAAUUCAAGUACGUCCUGUAGACAUUUUAAGGCAACUUUUGUUAGAACAACGUGGACCUGAUACAGAAUCAGUUCGAGCUUAUUUUCAAUCGCAAUCUCCAGAACAAGCAUGUGCAACAUGUUUAAUUUUAGCUACAUUAGAAUCUUCUCAAAACACUCAGUUAUGUGAAUGGGCAGCAAGAGCCUUUUUCUUAUAUGGUGGACAAAAAGUAUCAGGGAUUAUUCCUACAAUUGAUAGGCAUAGCAAUUUUCCUAAUAUACAUACAGCAGGAGACCUACGUUCAUCAACACCUAGAGUACAAAUUUUUGAUACAAGAUCUCAAGCAUUUAGGCAACAACCACAAGUGGGUCUAAAUUCUGAUGUUACUUUGCAACAAUUUUCAGCAAAGCACGGAGGUUUAUAUUUGUAUGUAGGAAGAAUACUUCGACCUAUAUGGAAUCUGCGUUGUAUAAAACAAGAACUUGUAAACAAUAAAACUCAGAUAUCUAGUACAAUUCCACCUAAUCAAAUUAGAUGGAUAUUGAAUCAUCUACAAGCUUUAAGGUUUUUUCUUAACAAAAAUACAAAUAUUACUAAGCAACAUAAUAGUGCAAGAAGUAUCACGGAUGAAUUUGAAACAACGUUACCUAAUCUUUAUCAAGAACCUAUUGUAGAGGAAAGAAAUUCCUUGGAUGCUCUAAAAGUUUUUAUUACUCAUGCUUGUGAGGUGUUAGGUUUAUGGGAAAUUUUAUGCGAAAACCAAUUAAAUAAUAUUAUUAAUUGUCUUUCUAAGGAUCAAAUUAGUCAAUUUUCUACGGCCACAUUUAGGGAUUUAAUCUUAAUUGGACAUGAAAUAUCAUCUUUACUUAUCAUUCAUUUAAUUGAUAGUUAUCUUGGCGACAAUGCAUCUGUAGAUGCAGUAAGUUCCAGAUUAAGAGAGGUUUGUCCAAAUUUGUAUAGAAGUGAAGAUGCAGUAUGUUCAAAGGCAAAUGAAAUAAUAUUGAAAGCAAAGAAUUGUAAAAAUUCAGAUGAGAAACAAGUUUAUUUGCAAUCUGCAUUAAAGCUUUGUAAAGAAGUGGCACCAAGAUUAAAUUUGAGUGCCGUGUGUCAGCAAUUUGUGGCUUGCCAGUUUUAUACAGGAGUUCUAGAAUUGUGUAUUUGCUGUGCAAAAAGAAUAGAUCCUCAUAAUGCUGCAUUACAUUUUUAUAAAAAUAAUGAACCUGUAGAAGAUCAAGAAGGAAAUAUGGCUUAUAUAAAACGAUUAGAAAUUUACAAAGAAUUUACUUCAAUGUUGGAUCACAUUUUUAAUCAGAACAUGUCAAGUCCGUUAACACCAACUAUACCAAGUAAACCGGGACCAGCUCUACAUAAUACUUCUGCUGUACCAAUAAUACUUACAAAAGACAUAUUAUAUGAGAUUAUAAAUGAUGCAUUACAUUCCCCUUGUGAAAUACUUCAUACUGCGGUAUAUAUAUGGAUGAUUGAAAGAGGGCUACAUGGAGAACUUGUUGCUCUUGCAGCAUCUUCAUUAGAAACUUAUUUGAGUCGUGUUAAUGCACCCGAAUUACUUUGGCAAUUUUAUGAAAGAAAUAAAAAUCAUGCUGCUGCGGCAAAAAUUUUAGAUUCUUUGGCUACUAAACCUUCUUCAGAGAUAUCAUUGUCAGAAAGAGUAGAAUAUUUAGCACGUGCAGUUGUUUGUAUGCGAAGUGAUCAAGCCGGUUAUGCACCUUAUCUUGGAAUUUUCUUGCGUGAAUUAGAAGAUAAAUUAGAGGUUGCUAGGAUACAACAACAAAUACUAGAUACGAUCUGUAGUCAGCAACAUAUUUUCGAUCCUGUGACUGUCCGUGAUGCUAAGUUAAAAUUGAAUUCUUCGUUACUCGAUAUUACACAGCUUUAUGAGGAAUAUGCAGAACCUUUAGAACUUUUAGAAUGUAAACUUGCUAUAAUUCAUUGCUCCGGACAUCAAGAUGCAAUGUUAAUUCAAGGAAUUUGGACCAAUAUAAUCAACAAUGAAUUAAAAAAUGCUGAAGCAUCAUCUCCAGAAGAUAAAAUGGCGAUUCUAAUGACCAAAGUUAAACUUCUUGGUCAAGAAUAUUCAGGAUCACCACAUUGUUUUCCGAUAGAGUUCUUAAUAGAACAAUUGGAAAUAAAAGCAUGUAAAUUAAAAACUUCCAAUAAUUGUAUUAUUACAGUAUUUUUAAAGUUAGGUGUAUCGAUGGAAGAUCUUUUAGAUUACUAUGAUAAGAUGAUUGGAAAAAAUACACGUAUUUGGUUAAACAAAGGAAAUGAAUUCCAUUUAAUAGAUUCCACUGCAAAUUUAAUCAAUUACAUUAUCCAAAAUCAAAACAUUACUAAUUCUUUUAACAGAGAAAAACUAAUAGUUAAGUGCCAAGAUGUUGUCUCUAAGUGUCUAACAAUUUUAUUUAGUAAACCUAAUAGUGAACAUCUAAUAGCAAAACUUAGAUCGAUGCGAAUGUAAAAUUGAUAAAUAAUUCACAGAUACAGAAAUCUAUUAUCCUAUAUUAACCUAGAAUCCUACUUCCUAAGGAAGAAUGCUAUGGCAAAAGAAAAAGAUCAUGAGUUAAAAGCAUUUUGUGUAUUCGAGUAAAUCAACGAUAACGAGAAACAUUUGAAAGUGUUCUAAGAAGAAAGAAAUACUAGAAAAUCCUACUGUCUCAUAACUAUGAAUUAUUUUCAAGAAGAAAAACACCCAUAAAUGACCACAUCGAAAUAUGAAAAUAAUAUGUAAUAAUAUCGUAGCUUAAAAUAUUACAUGACAAAUGUGAUUGAUAUACAAGGUUUUUUUUAUGUAACAGAGAAAUGAUCUAAAUAUAACUUCGAUUUAACUGUU